This 460-nucleotide ribosomal RNA is filed under the name uncultured bacterium. RNAcentral describes it as "partial 16S ribosomal RNA". It matches the Rfam family "Bacterial small subunit ribosomal RNA", at positions 338 to 795 of the family's 1533-position model. The record is from RNAcentral.
CCUACGGGCGGCAGCAGUGAGGAAUAUUGGUCAAUGGACGAGAGUCUGAACCAGCCAAGUAGCGUGAAGGAUGACUGCCCUAUGGGUUGUAAACUUCUUUUAUAUGGGAAUAAAACGUUCCACGUGUGGGAUUUUGUAUGUACCAUAUGAAUAAGGAUCGGCUAACUCCGUGCCAGCAGCCGCGGUAAUACGGAGGAUCCGAGCGUUAUCCGGAUUUAUUGGGUUUAAAGGGAGCGUAGGUGGAUUGUUAAGUCAGUUGUGAAAGUUUGCGGCUCAACCGUAAAAUUGCAGUUGAAACUGGCAGUCUUGAGUACAGUAGAGGUGGGCGGAAUUCGUGGUGUAGCGGUGAAAUGCUUAGAUAUCACGAAGAACUCCGAUUGCGAAAGCAGUUCACUGGACUGCAACUGACACUGAGGCUCGAAAGUGUGGGUAUCAAACAGGAUUAGAUACCCCUGUAGUC